UUUAUAUUUCUGCAAUGUAUUGCUACAAAAAUCCAUUAAAAAUAGACUAUGAAAAAAAAAUCUAUUUUAUUUGAUCAAAUGAUUUAGAGGGUCCAGCCCUCCAGCACAUGGGAGUAAAACAAAAUCAAUAUAAGCUUUAGCGUUCUAGCAAUUUUUUGACAAAUCACAAAUAUAUAGUUUUUAAAAAGAAAGUCUUAUUUCCAUCUUCAGAAU
Pelobates cultripes (western spadefoot toad) is the source of this 213-nucleotide non-coding RNA. The record is from the annotation of a GenBank genome assembly. NCBI's taxonomy places the organism in Eukaryota, Metazoa, Chordata, Amphibia, Anura, Pelobatidae.